CUUGAACUUUUUGUGAGUUUAUUUAUCGAAUGAGUGAAAAUGUCAGAGUUAAAUUUCGAUUAUAAACAUGAAACUUUAGUCCGAAAGCUCAGAGAGAGAGAAUUAAAGAGGACAAAAGUGCCAGGAUUGCGUUUGUGUUUUUCUGGCCUGGAUGUCAACCCCGCCCACAGCCAGAUCUGAUCUGCAUAACCCCGCCCACAGUCAGAUCUGAUCUGCAUAACCCCGCCCACAGUCAGAUCUGAUCUGCAUAACCCCGCACCCGCACCCUCUCCCUGCUGCGGUCCUGAGGUGGUCCUGAGGUCCUGAGGUGGUUCUGACUGCUCUGUACUCCACACUGAGAACUCUGAAGUGUCCCUCUGCAGGACGCAGACGCCGUCUGGAACACGCUUUUCCCCGACUCUGGAGUUCCUCCGUCACACACUUACUGCAGGUUACUGAGGUUCCUGGAGGAGACGACGCCAGUGUGACGCCGGUGUGACGGCGAUGUGACGCCAGUGUGACGCC
Pangasianodon hypophthalmus (striped catfish) is the source of this 504-nucleotide long non-coding RNA. RefSeq lists it as uncharacterized. The record is from RefSeq and is a predicted model, not a curated record. Lineage: Eukaryota; Metazoa; Chordata; Actinopteri; Siluriformes; Pangasiidae. The transcript has 3 exons.